UAAGGAAUAUUGGACAAUGGAGGCAACUCUGAUCCAGCCAUGCCGCGUGAAGGAAUAAGGCCCUAUGGGUUGUAAACUUCUUUUAGACGGGACAAAACCCCUUUACGUGUAAAGGGUUGAUGGUACUGUCAGAAUAAGCAUCGGCUAACUUCGUGCCAGCAGCCGCGGUAAUACGAAGGAUGCAAGCGUUAUCCGGAAUUAUUGGGUUUAAAGGGUGCGUAGGCGGACUAAUAAGUCAGUGGUGAAAGCCUGCAGCUUAACUGCAGAAUUGCCAUUGAUACUGUUAGUCUUGAGUACAGUUAAGGUAGGCGGAAUGUGUCAUGUAGCGGUGAAAUGCUUAGAUAUGACACAGAACACCGAUUGCGAAGGCAGCUUGCUAAGCUGUAACUGACGCUGAGGCACGAAAGCGUGGGGAGCAAACA
This 422-nucleotide ribosomal RNA is filed under the name uncultured bacterium. RNAcentral's name for it is "bacterial SSU rRNA". It matches the Rfam family "Bacterial small subunit ribosomal RNA", at positions 355 to 774 of the family's 1533-position model. The record is from RNAcentral.